This 989-nucleotide ribosomal RNA is filed under the name Cytobacillus praedii. RNAcentral's name for it is "partial 23S ribosomal RNA". It matches the Rfam family "Bacterial large subunit ribosomal RNA", at positions 231 to 1215 of the family's 2925-position model. The record is from RNAcentral. Lineage: Bacteria; Bacillati; Bacillota; Bacilli; Caryophanales; Bacillaceae.
GCGAUUCCCUGAGUAGCGGCGAGCGAAACGGGAUUAGCCCAAACCAAGAGGCUUGCCUCUUGGGGUUGUAGGACACUCUACACGGAGUUACAAAGGAACGAGGUAAAUGAACAGGUCUGGAAAGGCCGGCCAGAGAAGGUAAAAGCCCUGUAGUUGAAACUUCGUUCCCUCCAGAGUGGAUCCUGAGUACGGCGGGACACGAGAAAUCCCGUCGGAAGCAGGGAGGACCAUCUCCCAAGGCUAAAUACUCCCUAGUGACCGAUAGUGAACCAGUACCGUGAGGGAAAGGUGAAAAGCACCCCGGAAGGGGAGUGAAAGAGAUCCUGAAACCGUGUGCCUACAAGUAGUUAGAGCCCGUUAAUGGGUGAUAGCGUGCCUUUUGUAGAAUGAACCGGCGAGUUACGAUUACAUGCAAGGUUAAGUUGAAUAGACGGAGCCGCAGCGAAAGCGAGUCUGAAUAGGGCGAAUGAGUAUGUGGUCGUAGACCCGAAACCAGGUGAUCUACCCAUGUCCAGGUUGAAGUUCAGGUAACACUGAAUGGAGGACCGAACCCACGCACGUUGAAAAGUGCGGGGAUGAGGUGUGGGUAGCGGAGAAAUUCCAAUCGAACUUGGAGAUAGCUGGUUCUCUCCGAAAUAGCUUUAGGGCUAGCCUCAUGUAGAAAGAGUCUUGGAGGUAGAGCACUGUUUGGACUAGGGGCCCCCAUCGGGUUACCGAAUUCAGACAAACUCCGAAUGCCAAAGACUUAUCCAUGGGAGUCAGACUGCGAGUGAUAAGAUCCGUAGUCAAGAGGGAAACAGCCCAGACCACCAGCUAAGGUCCCAAAGUAUACGUUAAGUGGAAAAGGAUGUGGAGUUGCUUAGACAACCAGGAUGUUGGCUUAGAAGCAGCCACCAUUUAAAGAGUGCGUAAUAGCUCACUGGUCGAGUGACUCUGCGCCGAAAAUGUACCGGGGCUAAACGUAUCACCGAAGCUGUGGAUGGACAUCU